CAGCCGCCGCGGUAAUACGUAGGUGGCAAGCGUUGUCCGGAAUUAUUGGGCGUAAAGGGCUCGCAGGCGGUUUCUUAAGUCUGAUGCGAAAGCCCCCGGCUCAACCGGGGAGGGUCAUUGGAAACUGGGAAACUUGAGUGCAGAGGAGGAGAGUGGAAUUCCACGUGUAGCGGUGAAAUGCGUAGAGAUGUGGAGGAACACCAGUGGCGAAGGCGACUCUCUGGUCUAUAACUGACGCUGAGGAGCGAAAGCGUGGGGAGCGAACAGGAUUAGAGACCCGAGUAGUCCCUGUCUCUUAUAA
Molecule: ribosomal RNA, 301 nt
Filed under: uncultured bacterium
Lineage: Bacteria
Description: partial 16S ribosomal RNA
Rfam family: Bacterial small subunit ribosomal RNA
Source: RNAcentral